Molecule: ribosomal RNA, 708 nt
Filed under: uncultured bacterium
Lineage: Bacteria
Description: bacterial SSU rRNA
Rfam family: Bacterial small subunit ribosomal RNA
Source: RNAcentral
GGACGAACGCUGGCGGUAUGCUUAACACAUGCAAGUCGAACGAGAAGGAAGAGCUUGCUCUUCCUGAAAGUGGCGAACGGGUGAGUAACGCGUGGGUAACCUACCCUUUGGAAAGGAAUAGCCUCGGGAAACUGGGAAUAAUGCCUUAUAAGAUACGUUUGUCGCAUGGUAUUUGUAUUAAACGCUCCGGCGCCAUAGGAUGGACCCGCGUCCCAUUAGCUAGUUGGUGAGAUAACAGCUCACCAAGGCCACGAUGGGUAACCGGUCUGAGAGGGCGAACGGUCACACUGGAACUGAGACACGGUCCAGACUCCUACGGGAGGCAGCAGUGGGGAAUAUUGCGCAAUGGGGGCAACCCUGACGCAGCAAUACCGCGUGAGUGAAGAAGGUUUUCGGAUCGUAAAGCUCUGUUAUUGGGGAAGAAAAAAAGACGGUACCCAAGAAGAAAGUUCCGGCUAACUACGUGCCAGCAGCCGCGGUAAUACGUAGGGAACAAGCGUUGUCCGGAUUUACUGGGCGUAAAGGGCACGCAGGCGGUUUUUUAAGUCAGAUGUGAAAGGCCACAGCUCAACUGUGGACAUGCAUUUGAAACUGAAAGACUUGAGUAUUGGAGAGGCAAGUGGAAUUCCUAGUGUAGCGGUGAAAUGCGUAGAUAUUAGGAGGAACACCGGUGGCGAAGGCGGCUUGCUGGACAAAUACUGACGCUGA